RNAcentral lists this ribosomal RNA (1301 nucleotides) under metagenome. RNAcentral's name for it is "bacterial SSU rRNA". It matches the Rfam family "Bacterial small subunit ribosomal RNA", at positions 8 to 1327 of the family's 1533-position model. The record is from RNAcentral.
AGAGUUUGAUCCUGGCUCAGGACGAACGCUGGCGGCGCGCCUAACACAUGCAAGUCGAACGGAGCUGAGAGGAGCUUGCUUUUCUUAGCUUAGUGGCGAACGGGUGAGUAACGCGUGAGUAACCUGCCCUGGAGUGGGGGACAACAGUUGGAAACGACUGCUAAUACCGCAUAAGCCCACGGAUCCGCAUGGAUCUGCGGGAAAAGGAUUUAUUCGCCUCAGGAUGGACUCGCGUCCAAUUAGCUAGUUGGUGAGGUAACGGCCCACCAAGGCGACGAUUGGUAGCCGGACUGAGAGGUUGAACGGCCACAUUGGGACUGAGACACGGCCCAGACUCCUACGGGAGGCAGCAGUGGGGGAUAUUGCACAAUGGGGGAAACCCUGAUGCAGCGACGCCGCGUGGAGGAAGAAGGUUUUCGGAUUGUAAACUCCUGUCGUUAGGGACGAUAAUGACGGUACCUAACAAGAAAGCACCGGCUAACUACGUGCCAGCAGCCGCGGUAAAACGUAGGGUGCAAGCGUUGUCCGGAAUUACUGGGUGUAAAGGGAGCGCAGGCGGACCGGCAAGUUGGAAGUGAAAACUAUGGGCUCAACCCAUAAAUUGCUUUCAAAACUGCUGGCCUUGAGUAGUGCAGAGGUAGGUGGAAUUCCCGGUGUAGCGGUGGAAUGCGUAGAUAUCGGGAGGAACACCAGUGGCGAAGGCGACCUACUGGGCACCAACUGACGCUGAGGCUCGAAAGCAUGGGUAGCAAACAGGAUUAGAUACCCUGGUAGUCCAUGCCGUAAACGAUGAUUACUAGGUGUUGGAGGAUUGACCCCUUCAGUGCCGCAGUUAACACAAUAAGUAAUCCACCUGGGGAGUACGACCGCAAGGUUGAAACUCAAAGGAAUUGACGGGGGCCCGCACAAGCAGUGGAGUAUGUGGUUUAAUUCGAAGCAACGCGAAGAACCUUACCAGGUCUUGACAUCCGAUGCAUAGUGCAGAGAUGCAUGAAGUCCUUCGGGACAUCGAGACAGGUGGUGCAUGGUUGUCGUCAGCUCGUGUCGUGAGAUGUUGGGUUAAGUCCCGCAACGAGCGCAACCCUUAUUGCCAGUUACUACGAAAGAGGACUCUGGCGAGACUGCCGUUGACAAAACGGAGGAAGGUGGGGAUGACGUCAAAUCAUCAUGCCCUUUAUGACCUGGGCUACACACAUACUACAAUGGCGUUUAACAAAGAGAAGCAAGACCGCGAGGUGGAGCAAAACUCAAAAACAACGUCUCAGUUCAGAUUGCAGGCUGCAACUCGCCUGCAUGAAGCC